GCCUACGGCCAUCCCCACCCUGGUAACGCCCGAUCUCGUCUGAUCUCGGAAGCUAAGCAGGGUCGGGCCUGGUUAGUACUUGGAUGGGAGACCUCCUGGGAAUACCGGGUGCUGUAGGCU
Molecule: ribosomal RNA, 120 nt
Filed under: Gallus gallus (chicken)
Lineage: Eukaryota; Metazoa; Chordata; Aves; Galliformes; Phasianidae
Source: RNAcentral